This 258-nucleotide ribosomal RNA is filed under the name uncultured bacterium. RNAcentral's name for it is "partial 16S ribosomal RNA". It matches the Rfam family "Bacterial small subunit ribosomal RNA", at positions 237 to 504 of the family's 1533-position model. The record is from RNAcentral.
GCUAUCAGCUUGUUGGUGGGGUAAUGGCCUACCAAGGCGGCGACGGGUAUCCGGCCUGAGAGGGUGUACGGACACAUUGGGACUGAGAUACGGCCCAGACUCCUACGGGAGGCAGCAGUGGGGAAUAUUGCACAAUGGGCGCAAGCCUGAUGCAGCGACGCCGCGUGGGGGAUGAAGGCCUUCGGGUUGUAAACUCCUUUCGCUAUCGACGAAGCCUUUUAGGUGACGGUAGGUAGAUAAGAAGCACCGGCUAACUAC